CUCAAUUUGAGCUCAAGAACACUAGGGCUGCGUUUGGUUCGGGUAUAAGUAACAACUGUUUAUUCCAGAAAUAGGUACAAGUUCAGGUAUAAGCAGGAUCUAGACCAAUUUUGUGUUUGGAUGAAAAUUAGGUUAUUCCUAGAAAUAAGGUAAAUAGUGUUUAGAUGGUUAGAUUGGAACAAGAUGAAUAAGAGUUACAAAUUGAAAUUAAAAUUAUAUUAUGUAAUUAAUUAACAUCAAACUAUUACUUAAAAAUAAAUAAAUAAUUAAUUAUUAAUAAUUAAUUAUAAUUAUUAAUAAUUAUUAAUAAUUAUUAAUAAUUAUUAAUAAAUAAUAAUAAUUAUUAUUAAUUAUAAAUAAUAAAUUAAUAAUAAUAUCGAUUAUCAUUAAGAAUAAUUAUUAUUAUUAAUUAUUAAUAAAUAAUAAUAAAUAUUAUUAAUUAUUAAUAAAUAAUUAUAAAUAAUAAUAAAUUAAUAAUAAUAAUUAUCUAAUUUUUAAUCAUUAAUUAUAAAUAAUAAAUUAAUUAACUAUUUAAUUAUUAAAGUAAUAAAUAAUGAUUAAAAUAUAUUAAUUAGAUUAAUUAAUAAUUUACUGUCAUUAAAAUUAAAGUUAUACUUUAAUUAAUCUUGUUCUCACCAAGGAACAAGCUUGUUCUACAAAAAAGGUGGAACAACACUUCCAGCCUUAUACUAGCUUGUUCGAGAAACUCGGGAACUACUGUUCCCGGGUACAAAACAUAACGUUUGGGAACAAAAGGGGGAACAAAGGUUUAUUUCCUCCUUGUUCCCGAA
RNAcentral lists this long non-coding RNA (791 nucleotides) under Ananas comosus (pineapple). Its description in RNAcentral is "long non-coding RNA (ACOM_LNC033517)". The record is from RNAcentral. Lineage: Eukaryota; Viridiplantae; Streptophyta; Magnoliopsida; Poales; Bromeliaceae.